Molecule: long non-coding RNA, 332 nt
Filed under: Homo sapiens (human)
Lineage: Eukaryota; Metazoa; Chordata; Mammalia; Primates; Hominidae
Description: non-protein coding lnc-TUBGCP3-4:4
Source: RNAcentral
UUCCUGAUUUCACAAUGAUGGUAGGGAGCCCUGUGGGCACUAGAAGCAGCGGGGAGGGGUUCUAGACCUUUGGUGCCCAAGAGACUUCCGUGCAUGGAAAAUGUUGACUUCUAGCUUCCAUCUGCAGCGAACUCUCCAUCGGGACAUGGGACCUGGCUGUACGAGUUAAUUCAAACUGAGCCACUUUCCAUUAGGGCACCAAAUGGAGUUAGCAAUCCAAGAUUAUUUUAUUUUCUGGGCUAUCCAGAUGACUUAAAGCCUCGCUGAAGUUCCCAUGAGAAGAGUUUAAACAACCCAAAGAAAGCACAUCAUGGUCGACUGCAGGGAACUGA